This is a long non-coding RNA of Corvus hawaiiensis (hawaiian crow), 696 nucleotides long. RefSeq lists it as uncharacterized. Lineage: Eukaryota; Metazoa; Chordata; Aves; Passeriformes; Corvidae. The transcript is spliced from 2 exons. The record is from RefSeq and is a predicted model, not a curated record.
UGUCCCGCCGAGCGCGGUGUUAGCGGGGCCGGCUGGGGCUGAGGGCUCCCAUAGCCCAGCGACGGGCACCGACCGCUCCCUGCCCUCUCCGAGUCCCCGUGCAAGGUGAAGAGGGUGCUGACUGCAAUCACAAGUCAAUUCUGGAAGAGUCACAGGCAUCAGAGGACACAGACCUGCUGGGGUAAUGAGAUGAAGCCUUCUGAAGGUGGCUACUGAGCAGACAUUACCAAUGCCAUCAUGCCCACAGUCAUCUUGACCUCUGAUGAGGCACUGGAGCCACCUGAACUCUAUCAAAGGUUUCAAGAUAUUUCAAAGAUUUUUUUCUACAUGGGAAUUCCAUUCGGAAAGAGAUACCAAGUUGCAACUAGCUUCUUUUCCUUUCCACCGAAGGCUGAUCUUCCCAAAGUGGCCAACUUUUCCUAGUUCUUCAAGAUUUUUGGUGUAAAGUCUAUGUUGGCAGUUGCUCACAUGGCAAAAUGUACUUCCUGUACAUAUUAACCUUUUCUAGAUUCUAUUUUUUAAUAAUUACUAAUAUAUUCAAGGCUUUAAUUCCUUCUUAAGAACUGUUAAAAUGUAUUUUUUAUUGUUGGUUUAAAAAAAGUACAGUAUCUAAGCCAUUUAAAAUCUGUUAUGUCUUCCAUCUUUCUAGCAUAUUUUUCCCAUGGAGGUAUUAAAGACAAUUUCUAUCACCCAUAA